AACGCUGACAGAAUGCUUAACACAUGCAAGUCGAUGAUGGGAGCUAGCUUGCUAGAAGAAGUCAUGGCGGACGGGUGAGUAACGUGUAAAGAACUUACCAUAUAGACUGGGAUAACAGAGGGAAACUUCUGAUAAUACUGGAUAAGUUAGAAGUAGCAUUACUAAGUAAUGAAAGGUAGCAAUACGCUAUAUGAGAGCUUUGCAUCCUAUUAGCUAGUUGGUGGGGUAAAAGCCUACCAAGGCGAUGAUAGGUAGCCGGCCUGAGAGGGUGGACGGCCACAAGGGGACUGAGAUACGGCCCUUACUCCUACGGGAGGCAGCAGUGGGGAAUAUUGGACAAUGGAGGCAACUCUGAUCCAGCAAUUCUGUGUGUGUGAAGAAGGUUUUAGGACUGUAAAACACUUUUAGUAGGGAAGAAAGAAAUGACGGUACCUACAGAAGAAGCGACGGCUAAAUACGUGCCAGCAGCCGCGGUAAUACGUAUGUCGCGAGCGUUAUCCGGAAUUAUUGGGCUUAAAGGGCAUCUAGGCGGUUAAACAAGUUGAAGGUGAAAACCUGUGGCUCAACCAUAGGCUUGCCUACAAAACUGUAUAACUAGAGUACUGGAAAGGUGGGUGGAACUACACGAGUAGAGGUGAAAUUCGUAGAUAUGUGUAGGAAUGCCGAUGAUGAAGAUAACUCACUGGACAGCAACUGACGCUGAAGUGCGAAAGCUAGGG
RNAcentral lists this ribosomal RNA (719 nucleotides) under uncultured Sneathia sp. RNAcentral's name for it is "bacterial SSU rRNA". It matches the Rfam family "Bacterial small subunit ribosomal RNA", at positions 32 to 765 of the family's 1533-position model. Lineage: Bacteria; Fusobacteriati; Fusobacteriota; Fusobacteriia; Fusobacteriales; Leptotrichiaceae. The record is from RNAcentral.